RNAcentral lists this ribosomal RNA (253 nucleotides) under uncultured bacterium. RNAcentral's name for it is "partial 16S ribosomal RNA". It matches the Rfam family "Bacterial small subunit ribosomal RNA", at positions 524 to 776 of the family's 1533-position model. The record is from RNAcentral.
UACGGAGGGUGCAAGCGUUAUCCGGAUUCACUGGGUUUAAAGGGUGCGUAGGUGGGUUGGUAAGUCAGUGGUGAAAGCGCGGGGCUCAACUCCGCGUCGGCCAUGAAUACUGCGGGGCUGGAGCACUGUAGAGGCAGGCGGAAUUCCGGGUGUAGCGGUGGAAUGCGUAGAGAUCCGGAAGAACACCGGUGGCGAAGGCGGCCUGCUGGGCAGUAGCUGACACUGAGGCGCGACAGCGUGGGGAGCAAACAGG